This 1481-nucleotide ribosomal RNA is filed under the name Lactiplantibacillus plantarum. RNAcentral's name for it is "Lactobacillus plantarum partial 16S ribosomal RNA". It matches the Rfam family "Bacterial small subunit ribosomal RNA". The record is from RNAcentral. Lineage: Bacteria; Bacillati; Bacillota; Bacilli; Lactobacillales; Lactobacillaceae.
GGCGGCGUGCCUAAUACAUGCAAGUCGAACGAACUCUGGUAUUGAUUGGUGCUUGCAUCAUGAUUUACAUUUGAGUGAGUGGCGAACUGGUGAGUAACACGUGGGAAACCUGCCCAGAAGCGGGGGAUAACACCUGGAAACAGAUGCUAAUACCGCAUAACAACUUGGACCGCAUGGUCCGAGCUUGAAAGAUGGCUUCGGCUAUCACUUUUGGAUGGUCCCGCGGCGUAUUAGCUAGAUGGUGGGGUAACGGCUCACCAUGGCAAUGAUACGUAGCCGACCUGAGAGGGUAAUCGGCCACAUUGGGACUGAGACACGGCCCAAACUCCUACGGGAGGCAGCAGUAGGGAAUCUUCCACAAUGGACGAAAGUCUGAUGGAGCAACGCCGCGUGAGUGAAGAAGGGUUUCGGCUCGUAAAACUCUGUUGUUAAAGAAGAACAUAUCUGAGAGUAACUGUUCAGGUAUUGACGGUAUUUAACCAGAAAGCCACGGCUAACUACGUGCCAGCAGCCGCGGUAAUACGUAGGUGGCAAGCGUUGUCCGGAUUUAUUGGGCGUAAAGCGAGCGCAGGCGGUUUUUUAAGUCUGAUGUGAAAGCCUUCGGCUCAACCGAAGAAGUGCAUCGGAAACUGGGAAACUUGAGUGCAGAAGAGGACAGUGGAACUCCAUGUGUAGCGGUGAAAUGCGUAGAUAUAUGGAAGAACACCAGUGGCGAAGGCGGCUGUCUGGUCUGUAACUGACGCUGAGGCUCGAAAGUAUGGGUAGCAAACAGGAUUAGAUACCCUGGUAGUCCAUACCGUAAACGAUGAAUGCUAAGUGUUGGAGGGUUUCCGCCCUUCAGUGCUGCAGCUAACGCAUUAAGCAUUCCGCCUGGGGAGUACGGCCGCAAGGCUGAAACUCAAAGGAAUUGACGGGGGCCCGCACAAGCGGUGGAGCAUGUGGUUUAAUUCGAAGCUACGCGAAGAACCUUACCAGGUCUUGACAUACUAUGCAAAUCUAAGAGAUUAGACGUUCCCUUCGGGGACAUGGAUACAGGUGGUGCAUGGUUGUCGUCAGCUCGUGUCGUGAGAUGUUGGGUUAAGUCCCGCAACGAGCGCAACCCUUAUUAUCAGUUGCCAGCAUUAAGUUGGGCACUCUGGUGAGACUGCCGGUGACAAACCGGAGGAAGGUGGGGAUGACGUCAAAUCAUCAUGCCCCUUAUGACCUGGGCUACACACGUGCUACAAUGGAUGGUACAACGAGUUGCGAACUCGCGAGAGUAAGCUAAUCUCUUAAAGCCAUUCUCAGUUCGGAUUGUAGGCUGCAACUCGCCUACAUGAAGUCGGAAUCGCUAGUAAUCGCGGAUCAGCAUGCCGCGGUGAAUACGUUCCCGGGCCUUGUACACACCGCCCGUCACACCAUGAGAGUUUGUAACACCCAAAGUCGGUGGGGUAACCUUUUAGGAACCAGCCGCCUAAGGUGGGACAGAUGAUUAGGGUGAA